UACGAAGGGGGCUAGCGUUGUUCGGAUUUACUGGGCGUAAAGCGCACGUAGGCGGAUCGUUAAGUCGGGGGUGAAAUCCUGGAGCUCAACUCCAGAACUGCCUUCGAUACUGGCGAUCUUGAGUCCGGAAGAGGUGAGUGGAACUCCUAGUGUAGAGGUGGAAUUCGUAGAUAUUAGGAAGAACACCAGUGGCGAAGGCGGCUCACUGGUCCGGUACUGACGCUGAUGUGCGAAAGCGUGGGGAGCAAACAGG
This 253-nucleotide ribosomal RNA is filed under the name uncultured bacterium. Its description in RNAcentral is "partial 16S ribosomal RNA". It matches the Rfam family "Bacterial small subunit ribosomal RNA", at positions 524 to 776 of the family's 1533-position model. The record is from RNAcentral.